RNAcentral lists this transfer RNA (20 nucleotides) under Astur gentilis (Northern goshawk). Its description in RNAcentral is "Accipiter gentilis (Northern goshawk) partial tRNA-Thr". Lineage: Eukaryota; Metazoa; Chordata; Aves; Accipitriformes; Accipitridae. The record is from RNAcentral.
GCUCAUCCCUUCUUAGAGUU